GAUGAAGAACGCAGCGAAAUGCGAUAAGUAAUGUGAAUUGCAGAAUUCAGUGAAUCAUCGAAUCUUUGAACGCACAUUGCGCCCUCUGGUAUUCCGGAGGGCAUGCCUGUUCGAGCGUCAUUUCGGCCCUCAAGCAUUGCUUGGUGUUGGGGCACCGCCUGUAAAAGGGCGGGCCCUGAAAUCUAGUGGCGAGCUCGCCAGGACCCCGAGCGUAGUAAUUAUAUUUCGUUCUGGAAGGCCCUGGCGGUGCCCUGCCGUUAAACCCCCAACUUCUGAAAAUUUGACCUCGGAUCAGGUAGGAAUACCCGCUGAACUUAAGCAUAUCAAUAAGCGGAGGA
This 338-nucleotide unclassified non-coding RNA is filed under the name soil metagenome. RNAcentral's name for it is "partial contains 5.8S ribosomal RNA, internal transcribed spacer 2, and large subunit ribosomal RNA". The stretch from base 1 to 120 matches the Rfam family "5.8S ribosomal RNA", at positions 35 to 154 of the family's 154-position model. The record is from RNAcentral.